GUUUCCUCUCUUGGCCUUGGAGACCCUUUCCCUCUGUCUCCGUACAGGGAAGCUUCUUCCUUCUUUCUUUUUUCUUGCCUAUUAAACUCUCUGCUCCUUGAAACUACUCCACGUGUAUCUGUCAUUUUAUGCAAUUCAGCCUAAGACAAGAGCCCUGGUGUUCCUCCACUCAUUGAAGUCGUAUCAUUUCUUUUUCUUUUUCUUUCUUUCUUUCUUUUUUUUUUUUUUUUUUUUUUUGAGUCAGCGUCUUCGUCUUUCACUCAGGCUGGAGAGUAGUGGCACAAUCAUAUCACAGCUCACUGCAGACUCGACCUCCUGGGCUCAAGCAAUCCUCCCACCUCAGCUUCCCAAGUAGCUGGGACCACAGGCAUGCUCCAUCAUGCUUGGCUAAUUUUUGUAUAAUUUUAUUUUAUUUUUAUUUUUUUUUUUUUGGAGAGAUGAGGUUUCGCCAUGUUUCUCAGGCUGCACUCACACUCCUAUGCUCAAGCAAUCUGCCGGCUUCAGCCUCCCAAAGUGCUGGGAUUACAGGUCUGCACCACACACCUGGCCUUGGAUUUAUUUCUUUUAGUCCAAAUACUCCUUUAAUAUUUCUGCAGUCUUAUAAUUACAAUAUCUGAUCAGGAAGUGAGUCUCCUUUCAUUAAUGUUGUGUGAACUCUCUUUAAAUCAAUUAAUGUAAACAGUAUAUUUUCCAGGAGAGUAAAUUUUUCUUAAAUUGUAUACUUGAUUUUAGUUUCUGUUUCAAGUUUUGUAAUUUGAUUCUUUUUCAGAAAUACCUAUAGAGAAUCAAAUCUUUCUUUUUUCUCCCACAGAUACCAUCUUCUCUUUGAUAGCUUUCAUGUUUUGUACUUUUCAACUUUUUUUUCUAUAUUCUAGGAUGGUUUCUCAAAUUCUCUGAUGUGUUCAUUUUGUUUUGCUAUUUCGAAUAUGGAUUUAGUUUAGGUGCAUAUUUUAGCUCCUCUACAAUGUUUCUUUUUUUUUUUUACUCUACCAGUCUCUAAAAAUCUAUUUCCAUUUCUUUAAUAGGUCAUUUAAGGGAUCUGCAUUCCUUUAAGUGUGUUGUUGAUAUGGUAAUUGGGUCAUGGGGGUGGUUUCCCCACCCUGUUCUCAUGAUAAUGAGUGAGUCUCAGGAGAUCUGAUGGUUUUGUAAGUGUCUGGCAUUUCCCCUGCUUGCACUCAUUCCAUCCUGCCCCCUGUGAAGAAGGUGCCUUUUUCUCCUUUGCCUGCUGCCAGGAUUCUAAGUUUCCUGAGGCCCCACCCAGCAAUGCAGAACUAGUAGUAUCCUGAGAAGAAGAGGAAGCAACCAGAGUUCUCCCUCUGCCAUGUGAGAAGACAGUAGAAUGUGGCUGUCUGUAGCCAGAAAGAGAGACUUAUCGAGAACUAAAUUGGCUGGCACCUUAUUCUUGGACUUCCCAGCCUUCAGAUCUGUGAGAAAUAAACAUCUGUUGUUGAAGUCACCCAGUCUAUGGUGUUUCGUUAUAGUAACUGGAGAAGUCUAAGAGAAUACAGCAAAAUGGUUUGAAUAUGUUUUAAUUCUACAAUUAAAAUGUUGGAAGAAAAGAAGUGUGGUAUAAUUCACAUUUAAAAAAUUAUAUUCAAUUUAUUUUUUGGAAAGUAUAUUUAUGUUUAUCUUUCAGACUCUGGUAAUGACUGCCAGGUCUCAGUCUUCAGUUUGAAGUUCUCACUGAGCUUCACACCUUUGUCCCUGUCUGUUGUAUUUACUUCUUUGGAUAAAACGUCCCCAUUAUGUAUGGUAGGUUAAGAAAAAAAAAAUCCCUUCUUCAUUUCUUUUCACAGGCAUUACUGUCCACCAGCCAUCUAGGCUUGAGAACUUGGAGACCUCCAUGGAAAAGUCUUGCUCC
This 1861-nucleotide long non-coding RNA is filed under the name Homo sapiens (human). Its description in RNAcentral is "HSALNT0321512". Lineage: Eukaryota; Metazoa; Chordata; Mammalia; Primates; Hominidae. The record is from RNAcentral.